This 492-nucleotide ribosomal RNA is filed under the name uncultured bacterium. RNAcentral describes it as "partial 16S ribosomal RNA". It matches the Rfam family "Bacterial small subunit ribosomal RNA", at positions 29 to 507 of the family's 1533-position model. The record is from RNAcentral.
AGUGAACGCUGGCGGUAGGCCUAACACAUGCAAGUCGAACGGCAGCACAGUAAGAGCUUGCUCUUACGGGUGGCGAGUGGCGGACGGGUGAGGAAUACAUCGGAAUCUACUUUUUCGUGGGGGAUAACGUAGGGAAACUUACGCUAAUACCGCAUACGACCUACGGGUGAAAGCAGGGGAUCUUCGGACCUUGCGCGAUUGAAUGAGCCGAUGUCGGAUUAGCUAGUUGGCGGGGUAAAGGCCCACCAAGGCGACGAUCCGUAGCUGGUCUGAGAGGAUGAUCAGCCACACUGGAACUGGAACACGGACCAGACUCCUAAGGGAGGCAGCAGUGGGGAAUAGUAGACAAUGGGCGCAAGCCUGAUCCAGCCAUACCGCGUGGGUGAAGAAGGCCUUCGGGUUGUAAAGACCUUUUGUUGGGAAAGAAAAGCAGCAGGUUAAUACCACGCUGUUCUGACGGUACCCAAAGAAUAAGCACCGGCUAACUUCGUG